Molecule: ribosomal RNA, 719 nt
Filed under: Streptomyces sp.
Lineage: Bacteria; Bacillati; Actinomycetota; Actinomycetes; Kitasatosporales; Streptomycetaceae
Description: bacterial SSU rRNA
Rfam family: Bacterial small subunit ribosomal RNA
Source: RNAcentral
UCUGGGACAAGCCCUGGAAACGGGGUCUAAUACCGGAUAAUACUUUUUCCUGCAUGGGAAAGGGUUGAAAGCUCCGGCGGUGAAGGAUGAGCCCGCGGCCUAUCAGCUUGUUGGUGGGGUGAUGGCCUACCAAGGCGACGACGGGUAGCCGGCCUGAGAGGGCGACCGGCCACACUGGGACUGAGACACGGCCCAGACUCCUACGGGAGGCAGCAGUGGGGAAUAUUGCACAAUGGGCGAAAGCCUGAUGCAGCGACGCCGCGUGAGGGAUGACGGCCUUCGGGUUGUAAACCUCUUUCAGCAGGGAAGAAGCGAAAGUGACGGUACCUGCAGAAGAAGCGCCGGCUAACUACGUGCCAGCAGCCGCGGUAAUACGUAGGGCGCAAGCGUUGUCCGGAAUUAUUGGGCGUAAAGAGCUCGUAGGCGGCUUGUCACGUCGGAUGUGAAAGCCCGGGGCUUAACCCCGGGUCUGCAUUCGAUACGGGCAGGCUAGAGUGUGGUAGGGGAGAUCGGAAUUCCUGGUGUAGCGGUGAAAUGCGCAGAUAUCAGGAGGAACACCGGUGGCGAAGGCGGAUCUCUGGGCCAUUACUGACGCUGAGGAGCGAAAGCGUGGGGAGCGAACAGGAUUAGAUACCCUGGUAGUCCACGCCGUAAACGUUGGGAACUAGGUGUUGGCGACAUUCCACGUCGUCGGUGCCGCAGCUAACGCAUUAAGUUCC